Molecule: microRNA, 21 nt
Filed under: Homo sapiens (human)
Lineage: Eukaryota; Metazoa; Chordata; Mammalia; Primates; Hominidae
Description: hsa-miR-4525
Source: miRBase by way of RNAcentral
GGGGGGAUGUGCAUGCUGGUU